Molecule: ribosomal RNA, 484 nt
Filed under: uncultured bacterium
Lineage: Bacteria
Description: partial 16S ribosomal RNA
Rfam family: Bacterial small subunit ribosomal RNA
Source: RNAcentral
AUUGAACGCUGGCGGCAGGCCUAACACAUGCAAGUCGAGCGGAUGAAGGGAGCUUGCUCCUGGAUUCAGCGGCGGACGGGUGAGUAAUGCCUAGGAAUCUGCCUGGUUGUGGGGGAUAACGUCCGGAAACGGGCGCUAAUACCGCAUACGUCCUGAGGGAGAAAGUGGGGGAUCUUCGGACCUCACGCUAUCAGAUGAGCCUAGGUCGGAUUAGCUAGUUGGUGGGGUAAGGGCCUACCAAGGCGACGAUCCGUAACUGGUCUGAGAGGAUGAUCAGUCACACUGGAACUGAGACACGGUCAAGACUACUACGGGAGGCAGCAGUGGGGAAUAUUGGACAAUGGGCGAAAGCCUGAUCCAGCCAUGCCGCGUGUGUGAAGAAGGUCUUCGGAUUGUAAAGCACUUUAAGUUGGGAGGAAGGGCAGUAAGUUAAUACCUUGCUGUUUUGACGUUACCAACAGAAUAAGCACCGGCUAACUUCGUG